This 261-nucleotide ribosomal RNA is filed under the name uncultured bacterium. RNAcentral describes it as "partial 16S ribosomal RNA". It matches the Rfam family "Bacterial small subunit ribosomal RNA", at positions 524 to 784 of the family's 1533-position model. The record is from RNAcentral.
UACGAAGGGGACUAGCGUUGUUCGGAAUCACUGGGCGUAAAGCGCACGUAGGCGGAUAUGUCAGUCAGGGGUGAAAUCCCGGGGCUUAACCUCGGAACUGCCUUUGAUACAGCAUAUCUUGAGUCCGAUAGAGGUGGGUGGAAUUCCUAGUGUAGAGGUGAAAUUCGUAGAUAUUAGGAAGAACACCGGUGGCGAAGGCGGCCCACUGGAUCGGUACUGACGCUGAGGUGCGAAAGCGUGGGGAGCAAACAGGAUUGAGAA